UUAAGUUCAGCGGGUAUUCCUACCUGAUCCGAGGUCAAACGUUCAGAAGUUGGGGGUUUAACGGCGUGGCCGCGCUGUUUCCCAGUGCGAGGUGUGCUACUACGCAGAGGAAGCUACAGCGAGACCGCCACUAGAUUUCGGGGCCGGCGCGCCGGAGGGCGGCCGAUCCCCAACACCAAGCCCGGGGGCUUGAGGGUUGA
Molecule: unclassified non-coding RNA, 200 nt
Filed under: Dactylonectria sp.
Lineage: Eukaryota; Fungi; Ascomycota; Sordariomycetes; Hypocreales; Nectriaceae
Description: partial internal transcribed spacer 2
Source: RNAcentral